This 235-nucleotide long non-coding RNA is filed under the name Nicotiana benthamiana. RNAcentral describes it as "long non-coding RNA (NBEN_LNC036079)". Lineage: Eukaryota; Viridiplantae; Streptophyta; Magnoliopsida; Solanales; Solanaceae. The record is from RNAcentral.
CAACCAAGCAUGGCAUAGGGUUUACGAAUGAGCCUAAAGAAAAGGUUGAAGCUAAACCCCAACAACCUAAGGCUCAACCUAGGACUAAUAAUAAAAAUGUUUAUCCUAGAAAUAGCAAUCCUAGAACCAAUAUGCAUGCUAGACCAAGUGUUGAACAUUUUAGAAGACCUAGAAAUGACUUACCACUUAGAAAUAACUACCCUAGAAAUGAUGCAUAUUAUAGGCCAAAUACUAG